RNAcentral lists this ribosomal RNA (468 nucleotides) under uncultured bacterium. Its description in RNAcentral is "partial 16S ribosomal RNA". It matches the Rfam family "Bacterial small subunit ribosomal RNA", at positions 28 to 507 of the family's 1533-position model. The record is from RNAcentral.
GACGAACGCUGGCGGCGUGCUUAACACAUGCAAGUCGAACGGAAAGGCCCUGCUUGCAGGGUGCUCGAGUGGCGAACGGGUGAGUAACACGUGGGUGAUCUGCCCCUUACUUUGGGAUAAGCCUGGGAAACUGGGUCUAAUACUGGAUAGGACCAUGCUGUAGGUGGUGUGGUGGAAAGAUUAGUUUCGGUAAGGGAUGAGCUCGCGGCCUAUCAGCUUGUUGGUGGGGUAAUGGCCUACCAAGGCGUCGACGGGUAGCCGGCCUGAGAGGGUGGACGGCCACAUUGGGACUGAGAUACGGCCCAGACUCCUACGGGAGGCAGCAGUGGGGAAUAUUGCACAAUGGGCGCAAGCCUGAGGCAGCGACGCCGCGUGGGGGAUGACGGCCUUCGGGUUGUAAACUCCUUUCAGCCAUGACGAAGCCUUCGGGUGACGGUAGUGGUAGAAGAAGCACCGGCUAACUACGUG